GGGAGUAUGGGGGUAGGAAUGAGUAGAAUUAAUCAUACCCUAUAUGUAUAUAUGAUUGCACUAUCUGAGUAACUCUACAUCAUACAUUUCAUUUCAUCAAGAAUGAAAAGUUAUACUACAUUCAUGUAUGAAAAAAUUUUUUAAAAGAAACACUGUUGCAUAGAAAUAGAAUGCCAGCCAGACUGUGUAUGACCUUAUAUGGGAGACAAAGAGCUGGCAAGUAAAAGAGGAACUAACAAGAGUCCUCAGCUUUUGGAUACAAAUCCGCUGGCACUAAUAAACACUGCUUCCUGCUGAACACCCAGUGCCCUGUCCUGUCUCGGAGAAUCCCACAAGGUAGCUACUCAACCAUGAGUGGGUGAGCAAGUAAGGACAAUAAGAGACCACUGAAAGCCACAGGGAGCCUUAUCUGACAGAUAAGCACCUAUGGGGGUCCUUGUAUGUUAAAACCUAUGCCUGCCUUACUUAAGAAACAUUACCAUUUCUGGACCAUGUCAUCAUUAUCUCUUGUAACCAAGUCUCCAGAACCCUGCCUUAUCGCUCUCCAAUUGCCCUAUUAGCCAAAACAUCAAGACCCUCAUAAUGCCUGAUCUAUUCAAAGAAUUUGAACAUCUGUGACCACUCCAAAAUUCCUGUUGGAAAUGGCCCCCAGUGCAGCAGUAUGAACUCAUCCAGGAGAUGACUAGGCCAUGAGGGCUCUGCUCCUUGAACAGUGCUCCAAGGAAAGAAGAUGGUGCCUACAGGAGCUCUGGGCAGAGAACUAACAACUGCAGGAGUGCCUCUGGGGCAGCACAAUCUCGUCCAGUCUUCUGAUGAUUGGAACUUACAAAGUCAUCCUCCACAAACACUCGUGAACCACCCACUGGCCUCUGCUACUUUGAUUUUUCUGCAGUAACUUUAAUCUGACUCUUGAAGCUGACCUUGACCUUCCCACUCUCUCUGGCUACUGUGGUUUGGAUCUGGAAGGUCUCCAGCAAAACUCACGUGUCAGGAACGCAGUAAGGUCAGAGGUAAGUGAGCAGAUCAGGAAGGCUGGGAUCGCCUCAGAGGACUAACCCACGUGAUGCGCAUGAUCUGACUGGACCACUGAGCGGGAACAGUCGGCAGGUGGGGCACGGCUGCAGGAAUUAGGUCACUGGGAGUGGCCUUGGGGACUGUAUCUGUCCCUGGCCUAUAUCUUCUCUCUCCCCCACUCCUCUUCCUCUCUCUUCUUUCUCUUCUCUACUCCUGUCCCCUACCCCCGCCUUCCAGGCUGCCAUGACCUGAGAAGCUUUCCUCUUCCCUCCACCAUGCCCUUCUGCCAUGAUGCUCUGCCUCACCUCAGGCCCAGAGCACUGGAGUCAGCUGACCAUUGACUGAGAUCUCUGAAACCAUAAGCUCAAAGUCAUCUUCUCCCCCUCUAAGUUUUUCUUAUCAGGUGCAUGGGCCACAGUGAUGCAAAGCUGAUGAACACUUGGCCAGAUGCUGCAUGGGCCCACAUCAGCCUCCCCAGAAUGCUGGUUUAGCAUCCUCGUAGGACCAGCUCCCACCAGUCUCAGGCACUGGUCUUACACACUGUUGUCAUGGUUACCUUCACAGUGUUAAUCACAAGCCUUCUUCAAAAACCAUCAAGACAGCUCCCUAUGCUCACUCUGCCUCUUCCUCCCCAGGGCUCCUCCUCAACUGUAUGCACCCUUCUCAAGCCAGCCUGGCUGGUGACCGCAUCCCUUAUCUAUCAAUCUGUCCAUUUUCUGUUGCUGUUUAAGAAACCUUAUGGCUGGAUGACUUAUAUAGAAAGAUGUCUGUGCAGCUCCCAGUUUUGGAGGCUGAAACUCCAAGUGGCAUGGUGCCAGCUCUGGCAAGGACCCCUCAUUAUGUCACAUCAUGGUGGAUGGCAUCACCAUGGGAACACAAGCUAGAGGGCAAGACCACAUGGUAAGGCAGGAAACCAGAGAGCAGGGAGGAACCAGUCUCACUCCUUUAAAAAAAAAAAAAAAACCCUCUCGUGACUAACCAGAGUCCCAUGAGAACUAUAUUAAUUCCUGCCAAGGACAGCACCCCCCAGUGACCUAAUAACUUCCCACUAGGACUCACCCCUUAAAGGUCCCAUCACUCCCACAUCACCAUGCCAGGACAAAGCUUCUAACACACAACCCUCAGGACAAACCACAUACAAACCAUGCACAAUUCCGACAGGCAAAGUGUCGGGGGCUGUCAUGCUGAGUGACCAGCAUUUUCCUUCCCAUGAUCGGUAGAGGCUCUGUUGGUCACUUUCGUAGUGAUCUGGCCACAUUCAUAGUGGCCCUAGACGGCUGCCCCGAUCCUCAAAGUAGCAGAAUGUGUCUUCAUGCAUAGGCGCGCCUUCCUGCAUCCCCAUGGAUCGAGCUACGCUCACCCGCUCCUUUGUGAUAUUACCCGCUUGCCCUAUUUGGGAUAGAAUGUUCCAUGGAAACUCCCUUUGUGUGUCCCCUUCUCUUACUCUGCCCUUGGGUGUGGCCUUCCUAGAUGUCAGUCCAACCUGCUAACAGCAGACAUCAUGAAGUGUGGAGAGCCAUUCUCACACGUGACUGGGCGACUCCCGGUUUGGGUCUGAGGCGUUCUGGCUGUGUCGGAACUUUCCCGGCCCUCUCCUAAUGAGAGAACCCGUCCGUGUGGGGGUGUGACUGACCACUGACCCCGGGGGCCCAAUCACUGACCCUGACCUUGGAGUGCGGCCCCCCCUCAACCUUCAUUGGAUGGAAUUUACCCUGAAUUUCUUGUUCCCCAAUAAAAGGCUACUCCCUGGCGUGCUCGCUCUCUCUCUCUCCUGCUUGCCCUGAGUAAUCCUUGCUGCCCUACGGGUGGUUCGAGGUUGGAGCCAGAGAGGGGAGCCGUCUUGGACCUGGUCAUAGAAAAAGGUAA
Long non-coding RNA from Marmota monax (woodchuck), 2880 nucleotides. RefSeq lists it as uncharacterized. The transcript is spliced from 3 exons. The record is from RefSeq and is a predicted model, not a curated record. Lineage: Eukaryota; Metazoa; Chordata; Mammalia; Rodentia; Sciuridae.